This 668-nucleotide ribosomal RNA is filed under the name uncultured bacterium. RNAcentral describes it as "bacterial SSU rRNA". It matches the Rfam family "Bacterial small subunit ribosomal RNA", at positions 107 to 765 of the family's 1533-position model. The record is from RNAcentral.
UGAGUAAUGUCUGGGAAACUGCCCGAUGGAGGGGGAUAACUACUGGAAACGGUAGCUAAUACCGCAUAACGUCGCAAGACCAAAGUGGGGGACCUUCGGGCCUCACACCAUCGGAUGUGCCCAGAUGGGAUUAGCUAGUAGGUGGGGUAACGGCUCACCUAGGCGACGAUCCCUAGCUGGUCUGAGAGGAUGACCAGCCACACUGGAACUGAGACACGGUCCAGACUCCUACGGGAGGCAGCAGUGGGGAAUAUUGCACAAUGGGCGCAAGCCUGAUGCAGCCAUGCCGCGUGUAUGAAGAAGGCCUUCGGGUUGUAAAGUACUUUCAGCGGGGAGGAAGGCGAUGCGGUUAAUAACCGGGUCGAUUGACGUUACCCGCAGAAGAAGCACCGGCUAACUCCGUGCCAGCAGCCGCGGUAAUACGGAGGGUGCAAGCGUUAAUCGGAAUUACUGGGCGUAAAAGCGCACGCAGGCGGUCUGUCAAGUCGGAUGUGAAAUCCCCGGGCUUAACCUGGGAACUGCAUUCGAAACUGGCAGGCUAGAGUCUUGUAGAGGGGGGUAGAAUUCCAGGUGUAGCGGUGAAAUUGCGUAGAGAUCUGGAGGAAUACCCGGUGGCGAAAGGCGGCCCCCUGGACAAAGAACUUGACGCUCAGGUUCGAAAGCGUGGG